Molecule: long non-coding RNA, 631 nt
Organism: Gasterosteus aculeatus aculeatus (three-spined stickleback)
Lineage: Eukaryota; Metazoa; Chordata; Actinopteri; Perciformes; Gasterosteidae
Source: Ensembl
AACCCAGUUUCUUACAUUACGAGCCCUGGGAGUAAUGAUAACGGCAAGCACUCUCCACUGUGAGCGGAGUGAGGAUCUUCUCCCUGACAGUAUCCUGAGGGAUCGAACACACGUCCGUUAUCUGACCACACCUCUCCGAGCCUCAUGAUGUAACGAGUCUGGUGUCCUGCUCACUGUCAGUUUGAAGGUGACGGACUUCUGCAGGCCGUCAGGUGAGACCUGCAGCAGCUCAGCGACCACCCGGAUCUCCUGCGCGCUCACCACUGCCGCGACCUCCUGACCCUCAGCCUGCAGGGACGCACACCCAAACAGCGACCUGAUGUGGCUGGAAGUAGACGUUCCCCAGAUGAAGGACGGACGACAAAAGUCUGUAAAUGCUUGUUUGCUCCUCCGGGGUGAAACGCAGGAUGUCCAUGGCACUCAGCAGACGCCUGAAGUCCAUCCCGUCAUCCUUUCCCUCUAUGACUUACUGAGCUGGAAACAAUACUGUGGAAAAGACAAACGGAUGGAUGGCUGAUGAACAGACUGGGCUGUGUAACGAUGGAGGGGAACAUGUUCGACAUCUCGCCAUCUUCCUCCACCAUCUCCUCUUUCUCACGAUGACUCAUUGUGUCCCCUCAACAUGUUAACG